GUUAGGGGUCAGGCAUUGGGGGUUAGGGGUUUGUGUCCGGGUUAGAGGUCAGGCAUUGGGGGUUAGGGGUUUGUGUCCGGGUUAGAGGUCAGGCAUUGGGGGUUAGGGGUUUGUGUUAGGGGUCAGGGAUUAGGGUUGGGGGUUAGAGGUCAGGCAUUGGGGGUUAGGGGUUUGUGUCCGGGUUAGAGGUCAGGCAUUGGGGGUUAGGGGCUUGUGUCCGGUUAGGGUCAGGCAUUGGGGGUUAGGGUUUGUGUCUGCUAGAGGUCAGGCAUUGGGGGUUAGGGGCUGUGUUAGAGGUCAGGCAUUGGGGUUAGGGGUCUGUGUUAGGGUCAGGCAUUGGGGGUUAGGGCUUGUGUCCGGGUUAGAGGUCAGGCGUUAGGGGUUUGUGUUAGAGGUCAGGUAUUGGGGGUUAGGGUUUGUGUCCGGGUUAGAGGUCAGGCAUUGGGGGUUAGGGCUUGUGUCCGGUUAGAGGUCAGGCAUUGGGGGUUAGGGGUUUGUAGUCCGGGCUAGAGGUCAGGCACUGGGGGUUAGGGGCUUGUGUUAGGUUAGGGUCAGGCAUUGGGGGUUAGGGCUCUGUGUUAGGCUAGGGGUCAGGCACUGGAGGGGUUUGGUGUCCGGGUUAGAGGUCAGGCAUUGGGGGUUAGGGGUUUGUGUCCGGGUUAGUGGUCAGGCAUUGGGGGUUAGGGGUUUGUGUCCGGGUAAGAGGUCAGGCCAUGGGGUGUCCGGGUUAGAGGUCAGGCAUUGGGGGUUAGGGGUUUGUGUUAGGGGUCAGGCAUUGGGGGUUAGGGGUUUGUGUCCGGGUUAGAGGUCAGGCAUUGGGGUUAGGGGUUUGUGUCUGGGUUAGAGGUCAGGCAUUGGGGGUUAGGGGUUUGUGUUAGAGGUCAGGCAUUGGGGGUUAGGGGUUUGUGUUAGGGGUCAGGCAUUGGGGGUUAGGGGUUUGUGUCCGGGUUAGAGGUCAGGCAUUGGGGUUAGGGGUUUGUGUUAGAGGUCAGGUAUUGGGGGUUAGGGGUUUGUGUCCGGGUUAGAGGUCAGGCAUUGGGGGUUAGGGGUUUGUGUUAGAGGUCAGGUAUUGGGGGUUAGGGGUUUGUGUCCGGGUUAGAGGUCAGGCAUUGGGGGUUAGGGGUUUGUGUUAGGGUUAGGGGUCAGGCAUUGGGGGUUAGGGGUUUGUGUAAGGGUUAGUGGUCAGGCAUUGGGGGUAAGGGGUUUGUGUCCGGGUUAGAGGUCAGGCAUUGGGGGUUAGGGGUUUGUGUCCGGGUUAGUGGUCAGGCAGUGGGGGGUAGGGGUUUGUGUCCGGGUUAGAGGUCAGGCAUUGGGGGUUAGGGGUUUGUGUCCGGGUUAGAGGUCAGGCAUUGGGGUUAGGGGUCUGUGUUAGGGGUAAGGCAUUGGGGGUUGGGGUUUGUGUCCGGGUUAGAGGUCAGGCAUUGGGGUUAGGGGUUUGUGUUAGGGUUAGAGAUUAGGCCUUAGGGUCGAAGGUCAGAGUUAGAGGCAAGGGUUAGGGGUCAGGCAUUGGGGGUUAGGGGUUAGGGUUAGGGUUAGGGGCCCGGCAUUGGGGUUGGAGUUAGG
This is a non-coding RNA of Podarcis lilfordi (Lilford's wall lizard), 1563 nucleotides long. The record is from the annotation of a GenBank genome assembly. NCBI's taxonomy places the organism in Eukaryota, Metazoa, Chordata, Lepidosauria, Squamata, Lacertidae.